RNAcentral lists this ribosomal RNA (257 nucleotides) under uncultured bacterium. RNAcentral describes it as "partial 16S ribosomal RNA". It matches the Rfam family "Bacterial small subunit ribosomal RNA", at positions 524 to 776 of the family's 1533-position model. The record is from RNAcentral.
UACGUAGGGGGCAAGCGUUGUCCGGAUUUAUUGGGCGUAAAGAGCGUGUAGGCGGCCUGAAAGGUCAGCUGUGAAAACUCGAGGCUCAACCUCGAGACGUCGGUUGAAACCAUCUGGCUAGAGUCCGGAAGAGGAGUGUGGAAUUCCCGGUGUAGCGGUGAAAUGCGCAGAUAUCAGGAGGAACACCGGUGGCGAAGGCGGUGGAGCUGGGGCAGUUGCUGACACUGGAGGCGCGGACAGCGUGGGGAGCAAACAGG